CUUUCCUUCGGGACAGAGGAGACAGGUGGUGCAUGGUUGUCGUCAGCUCGUGUCGUGAGAUGUUGGGUUAAGUCCCGCAACGAGCGCAACCCUUGAUCUUAGUUGCCAGCAUUUCGGAUGGGCACUCUAAGGUGACUGCCGGUGACAAACCGGAGGAAGGUGGGGAUGACGUCAAAUCAUCAUGCCCCUUAUGACCUGGGCUACACACGUACUACAAUGGCCGGUACAACGGGCUGUGAAGCCGC
Molecule: ribosomal RNA, 245 nt
Filed under: Paenibacillus taichungensis
Lineage: Bacteria; Bacillati; Bacillota; Bacilli; Caryophanales; Paenibacillaceae
Description: partial 16S ribosomal RNA
Rfam family: Bacterial small subunit ribosomal RNA
Source: RNAcentral